This is a long non-coding RNA of Coffea arabica (coffee), 398 nucleotides long. RefSeq lists it as uncharacterized. The record is from RefSeq and is a predicted model, not a curated record. NCBI's taxonomy places the organism in Eukaryota, Viridiplantae, Streptophyta, Magnoliopsida, Gentianales, Rubiaceae.
GCCCUCUUCAUCUUCAGUCGCUGCUGUGCUGCUGCGGUGACUGGCCAGACCGAGAGGGAAACAGAGAGCAAGGGAGCCGGCUGAUCCUCUGUGGUUCUAGGAGCAACUUGAGGAACUAGACAAUACAUUUAGCUAGUAAACAACCCACUUGAAGGAGUUGGUGAAGAGCACAAUCUCGAUCAAAGUUUGGAAUUCUAGACACUUCACUUGAGGUUCUGAAAUGCAUGAAGUCUUGGAGAACUAGAACAGAAAUGUUAUAUUUUGAAUGCCCACUUUUGUAAUUGUACUUUUGGAAACGUUAGUAUCUUUUGGAUGAUUUUUGUGUUUUUGGGAAAAUGUGAAUCCUGUGGUGCUUCUGUGCCCUGGAUUAGGAACUUUAAAUUGUAAAUUAAGUUGAA